UUUUUUAUACGACCGCAAAAAUUUUAAUUUUUUGGUCGUAUAUUGCUAUCACGUUGGCGUCGUCGUCGUCGUCCGAAUACUUUUAGUUUUCGCACUCUAACUUUAGUAAAAGGGAAUAGAAAUCAAUGAAAUUUUAACACAAGGUUUAUGACCACAAAAGGAAGGUUGGGAUUGAUUUUGGGAGUUUUGGUCCCAACAUUUUAGGAAUUAGGGGCCAAAAAGGGCCCAAAUAAGCAUUUUUUGGUUUUCGCACUAUAACUUUAGUUUAAGUGAAUAGAAAUCUAUGAAAUUUUGACACAAGGUUUAUGACCACAAAAGGAAGGUUGGGAUUGAUUUUGGGGGUUUUGGUUCCAACAGUUUAGGAAUUAAGGGCCAAAAAAGGGCCCAAAUAAGCAUUAUUCUUGGUUUUCGCACAAUAACUUUAGUAUAAGUAAAUAGAAAUCAAUGAAAUUUUAGCACAAGGUUUAUGACCACAAAAGGAAGGUUGGGAUUGAUUUUUGGAGUUGAGGUCACAACAGUUUAUGAAUUAGGGGCCAAAAAGGGGCCCAAAUAAGCAUUAUUUUUGGUUUUUGCACCAUAACUUUAGUAUAAGUAAAUAGAAAUCUAUGAAAUUUAAACACAAUGUUUAUGACCAUAAAAGGAAGGUUGGGUUUGAUUUUGGGAGUUUUGGUCCUAACAGUUUAGGAAUAAGGGGCCCAAAGGGUCCAAAAUUGAACUUUGUGUGAUUUCAUCAAAAAUUGAAUAAUUGGGGUUCUUUGAUAUGC
This 764-nucleotide long non-coding RNA is filed under the name Mytilus galloprovincialis (Mediterranean mussel). The record is from RNAcentral. Lineage: Eukaryota; Metazoa; Mollusca; Bivalvia; Mytilida; Mytilidae.